This 223-nucleotide ribosomal RNA is filed under the name uncultured bacterium. Its description in RNAcentral is "partial 16S ribosomal RNA". It matches the Rfam family "Bacterial small subunit ribosomal RNA", at positions 524 to 747 of the family's 1533-position model. The record is from RNAcentral.
UACGUAGGUGGCAAGCGUUGUCCGGAAUUAUUGGGCGUAAAGCGCGCGCAGGCGGCUUCUUAAGUCUGAUGUGAAAUCUCGGGCUCAACCCCGAGCGGCCAUUGGAAACUGGGAAGCUUGAGUACAGAAGAGGAGAGUGGAAUUCCACGUGUAGCGGUGAAAUGCGUAGAUAUGUGGAGGAACACCAGUGGCGAAGGCGACUCUCUGGUCUGUAACUGACGCU